AACGAACGCUAGCGGGAUGCUUCAAACAUGCAAGUCGUACGCGAAAGCUCUUCGGAGUGAGUAGAGUGGCGCACGGGUGAGUAACACGUAGCUAACGUACCCUUUCGCUGGGGACAACUUCGGGAAACCGAAGCUAAUACCGAAUGAUCUUUUAGAAUCUGCGGAUUUUAUUGGUAAAGCCUUCGGGCGCGAAAGGAUCGGGCUGCGGCGCAUUAGCUUGAUGGUGGGGUAAAGGCCUACCAUGGCAACGAUGCGUAGCUGGUCUGAGAGGAUGAUCAGUCACACUGGAACUGGAACACGGUCCAGACUCCCACGGGAGGCAGCAGUUGGGAAUAUUGGACAAUGGGGGAAACCCUGAUCCAGCAAUCCCGCGUGAGGGAUGAAGGCCUUCGGGUCGUAAACCUCUUUCGACAGGGAAGAAGGGAAACUUGACGGUACCUGUAGAAGAAGCACCGGCUAACUACG
RNAcentral lists this ribosomal RNA (465 nucleotides) under uncultured Pseudomonadota bacterium. Its description in RNAcentral is "bacterial SSU rRNA". It matches the Rfam family "Bacterial small subunit ribosomal RNA", at positions 29 to 505 of the family's 1533-position model. The record is from RNAcentral. Lineage: Bacteria; Pseudomonadati; Pseudomonadota.